This 498-nucleotide ribosomal RNA is filed under the name uncultured bacterium. RNAcentral's name for it is "partial 16S ribosomal RNA". It matches the Rfam family "Bacterial small subunit ribosomal RNA", at positions 28 to 508 of the family's 1533-position model. The record is from RNAcentral.
GAUGAACGCUGGCGGCGUGCCUAAUACAUGCAAGUCGAGCGAACAGACGAGGAGCUUUCUCCUCUGACGUUAGCGGCGGACGGGUGAGUAACACGUGGAUAACCUACCUAUAAGACUGGGAUAACUUCGGGAAACCGGAGCUAAUACCGGAUAAUAUAUUGAACCGCAUGGUUCAAUAGUGAAAGACGGUUUUGCUGUCACUUAUAGAUGGAUCCGCGCCGCAUUAGCUAGUUGGUAAGGUAACGGCUUACCAAGGAAACGAUGCGUAGCCGACCUGAGAGGGUGAACGGCCACACUGGAACUGAGACACGGUCCAGACUGCUACGGGAGGGAGCAGUAGGGAAUCAUCCGAAAUGGGCGGCAGCCUGACGGAGCAACGCCGCGUGGGUGGUGAAGGGCUUCGGAUCGUAAAACUCUGUUAUUAGGGAAGAAAAAAUGUGUAAGUAACUCCGCACGUCUUGACGGUACCUAAUCAGAAAGCCACGGCUAACUUCGUGC